GUCCUAUUGGGGAUUUAAUAGGUCUGACCUGCCCACUGAAUAUUAAAGGGCCGCGGUAUUUUGACCGUGCGAAGGUAGCAUAAUCAUUAGUUUUUUAAUUGAAGGCUUGUAUGAAUGGUUGGACAAGAAAUAAGCUGUCUUUGUAAUAAUUGUUGAAUUUAACAUUUAAGUAAAAAGGCUUAAAUAAAUUAAGGGGACGAUAAGACCCUAUAAAGCUUUAUAGUUUUCUUGUUUUUUUAGGAAAUGGAUUGUAAAAACUAAUUUAGUGAGAAGAAUAUUGUGUUGGGGCGACAGGGGUAGAAUUGUAGUAUCUGCUCUGUAUUUAUAACAGAAAUUUUUGGAUUAUAUAUAAUUGAUCCUUUUUAUAGAUUAGAAGUUUAAGUUACUUUAGGGAUAACAGCGUAAUUUCUUUUGAGAGCCCAUAUCGAGAAAGAAGUUUGCGACCUCGAUGUUGAAUUAAAUUGUCUGCUUAUGUGCAGCAGCUAAGUAAGAUGGUCUGUUCGACCUUUAAAAAUUUACAUGAUUUGAGUUCAAACCGGCGUGAG
RNAcentral lists this ribosomal RNA (545 nucleotides) under Pomatogebia operculata. RNAcentral's name for it is "partial 16S ribosomal RNA". It matches the Rfam family "Archaeal large subunit ribosomal RNA", at positions 1921 to 2694 of the family's 2987-position model. The record is from RNAcentral. Lineage: Eukaryota; Metazoa; Arthropoda; Malacostraca; Decapoda; Upogebiidae.